Molecule: ribosomal RNA, 907 nt
Filed under: Ceratosphaeria aquatica
Lineage: Eukaryota; Fungi; Ascomycota; Sordariomycetes; Magnaporthales; Ceratosphaeriaceae
Description: partial large subunit ribosomal RNA
Rfam family: Eukaryotic large subunit ribosomal RNA
Source: RNAcentral
GGCAACAGCUCAAAUUUGAAAUCUGGCCCCCCGGGCCCGAGUUGUAAUUUGCAGAGGAUGCUUUCGGUGCGGCCCCUUCUGAGUCCCCUGGAAUGGGGCGCCACAGAGGGUGAGAGCCCCGUAUAGUCGGACGCCAAACCGGUGUAAAGCUCCUUCGACGAGUCGAGUAGUUUGGGAAUGCUGCUCUAAAUGGGAGGUAAAUUUCUUCUAAAGCUAAAUAUAGGCCAGAGACCGAUAGCGCACAAGUAGAGUGAUCGAAAGAUGAAAAGCACCUUGAAAAGAGGGUUAAACAGUACGUGAAAUUGUUGAAAGGGAAGCGCUUGUGACCAGACUCGCGCCCGGCGGAUCAUCCAGCGUUCUCGCUGGUGCGCUCCGCCGCGGCUCGGGCCAGCAUCGGUUUCCGCCGGGGGACAAAGGCGCCGGGAACGUGGCUCCCCUCGGGGAGUGUUAUAGCCCGGCGUGCAAUGCCCCGGCGGGGACCGAGGACCGCGCUUCGGCAAGGAUGCUGGCGUAAUGGUCAUCAGCGACCCGUCUUGAAACACGGACCAAGGAGUCAAGCAUUAGGGCGAGUGUUUGGGUGUCAAACCCGCACGCGAAAUGAAAGUGAACGCAGGUGAGAGCUUCGGCGCAUCAUCGACCGAUCCUGAUGUAUUCGGAUGGAUUUGAGUAGGAGCCUUAACGCUUGGACCCGAAAGAUGGUGAACUAUGCCUGUAUAGGGUGAAGCCAGAGGAAACUCUGGUGGAGGCUCGCAGCGGUUCUGACGUGCAAAUCGAUCGUCAAAUAUGGGCAUAGGGGCGAAAGACUAAUCGAACCAUCUAGUAGCUGGUUACCGCCGAAGUUUCCCUCAGGAUAGCAGUGUUGUUCUUCAGUUUUAUGAGGUAAAGCGAAUGAUUAGGGACUCGGGGG